Molecule: ribosomal RNA, 389 nt
Filed under: uncultured bacterium
Lineage: Bacteria
Description: bacterial SSU rRNA
Rfam family: Bacterial small subunit ribosomal RNA
Source: RNAcentral
GACGAACGCUGGCGGCGUGCUUAACACAUGCAAGUCGAACGAUGAACCACUUCGGUGGGGAUUAGUGGCGAACGGGUGAGUAACACGUGGGCAAUCUGCCCUUCACUCUGGGACAAGCCCUGGAAACGGGGUCGUAAUACCGGAUACGACACUCUCGGGCAUCCGAUGAGUGUGGAAAGCUCCGGCGGUGAAGGAUGAGCCCGCGGCCUAUCAGCUUGUUGGUGAGGUAACGGCUCACCAAGGCGACGACGGGUAGCCGGCCUGAGAGGGCGACCGGCCACACUGGGACUGAGACACGGCCCAGACUCCUACGGGAGGCAGCAGUGGGGAAUAUUGCACAAUGGGCGAAAGCCUGAUGCAGCGACGCCGCGUGAGGGAUGACGGCCUGG